Molecule: ribosomal RNA, 468 nt
Filed under: uncultured bacterium
Lineage: Bacteria
Description: partial 16S ribosomal RNA
Rfam family: Bacterial small subunit ribosomal RNA
Source: RNAcentral
GCCGAACUCUUUCUUCGUGCUUAACACAUGCAAGUCGAACGGAAAGGCCCUGCUUUUGUGGGUUGCUCGAGUGGCGAACGGGUGAGUAACACGUGAGUAACCUGCCCUUGACUUUGGGAUAACUUCAGGAAACUGGGGCUAAUACCGGAUAGGAGCUCCUGCUGCAUGGUGGGGGAUGGAAAGUUUCGGCGGUUGUGGAUGGACUCGCGGCUUAUCAGCUUGUUUGUGGGGUAGUGGCUUACCAAGGCUUUGACGGGUAGCCGGCCUGAGAGGGUGACCGGCCACAUUGGGCCUGAGAUACGGCCCAGACUCCUACGGGAGGCAGCAGUGGGGAAUAUUGCACAAUGGGCGGAAGCCUGAUGCAGCAACGCCGCGUGCGGGAUGACGGCCUUCGGGUUGUAAACCGCUUUCGCCUGUGACGAAGCGUGAGUGACGGUAAUGGGUAAAGAAGCACCGGCUAACUACGUG